Drosophila innubila is the source of this 251-nucleotide long non-coding RNA. RefSeq lists it as uncharacterized. The transcript is spliced from 2 exons. The record is from RefSeq and is a predicted model, not a curated record. Lineage: Eukaryota; Metazoa; Arthropoda; Insecta; Diptera; Drosophilidae.
AACAACUGAGUGUGUGCUGCAGGUCGGGAGUGGAGUGAGGGUGGAAAUGGAGACUACCCUCGCUGGUAUAGCUCACCUUGACAAUAAUCGGCUGAAAUGGAUCCUCCACGGGCACUAUGAAGACCUCGUCCCACACGGGAUUUAGGUCACGGUGAAUAGUGCGCGACUUGUGAAGCAAUCGUCCUCCCACCUUGAAUUUGACAUAAGGAUCACUCAGUCCUGACGCGACGGAAGACACACAAAGAAAGACA